UGUAGGUUGGCUUGUCAUCCUUUGCUGCUAAUAAUGGCAACUCUGAGAAAUCGCUUUUAUGUUAUCACUUUGAUUGUUUUAUCAAUCUGUCUUGCAUCUUCUCCGGCAACAUCUGCUAGACCUUUUAGUGGAUUUCAAAAUCAUCUCACCAUUCCCAACACCAAACCG
This is a long non-coding RNA of Telopea speciosissima, 168 nucleotides long. RefSeq lists it as uncharacterized. The transcript has 3 exons. The record is from RefSeq and is a predicted model, not a curated record. Lineage: Eukaryota; Viridiplantae; Streptophyta; Magnoliopsida; Proteales; Proteaceae.